AUUGAACGCUGGCGGCAUGCCUUACACAUGCAAGUCGAACGGCAGCACGGAGCUUGCUCUGGUGGCGAGUGGCGAACGGGUGAGUAAUAUAUCGGAACGUACCCAAGAGUGGGGGAUAACGUAGCGAAAGUUACGCUAAUACCGCAUACGAUCUAAGGCUGAAAGCAGGGGACCUUCGGGCCUUGUGCUCCUGGAGCGGCCGAUAUCUGAUUAGCUAGUUGGUGAGGUAAAGGCUCACCAAGGCAUCGAUCAGUAGCUGGUCUGAGAGGACGACCAGCCACACUGGAACUGAGACACGGUCCAGACUCCUACGGGAGGCAGCAGUGGGGAAUUUUGGACAAUGGGGGCAACCCUGAUCCAGCAAUGCCGCGUGAGUGAAGAAGGCCUUCGGGUUGUAAAGCUCUUUUGUCAGGGAAGAAACGGUGAAGGCUAAUAUCCUUUGCUAAUGACGGUACCUGAAGAAUAAGCACCGGCUAACUACGUGCCAGCCGCCGCCGUAA
RNAcentral lists this ribosomal RNA (500 nucleotides) under uncultured bacterium. RNAcentral's name for it is "partial 16S ribosomal RNA". It matches the Rfam family "Bacterial small subunit ribosomal RNA", at positions 30 to 523 of the family's 1533-position model. The record is from RNAcentral.